This 596-nucleotide ribosomal RNA is filed under the name fungal sp. ARIZ L486clb. RNAcentral's name for it is "eukaryotic LSU rRNA". The stretch from base 219 to 372 matches the Rfam family "5.8S ribosomal RNA". Lineage: Eukaryota; Fungi. The record is from RNAcentral.
CCGUAGGUGAACCUGCGGAGGGAUCAUUACCGAGUUAUACAACUCCCAAACCCACUGUGAACCUUACCUCAGUUGCCUCGGCGGGAACGCCCCGGCCGCCUGCCCCCGCGCCGGCGCCGGACCCAGGCGCCCGCCGCAGGGACCCCAAACUCUCUUGCAUUACGCCCAGCGGGCGGAAUUUCUUCUCUGAGUUGCACAAGCAAAAACAAAUGAAUCAAAACUUUCAACAACGGAUCUCUUGGUUCUGGCAUCGAUGAAGAACGCAGCGAAAUGCGAUAAGUAAUGUGAAUUGCAGAAUCCAGUGAAUCAUCGAAUCUUUGAACGCACAUUGCGCCCGCCAGCAUUCUGGCGGGCAUGCCUGUUCGAGCGUCAUUUCAACCCUCGAGCCCCCCCCGGGGGCCUCGGUGUUGGGGGACGGCACACCAGCCGCCCCCGAAAUGCAGUGGCGACCCCGCCGCAGCCUCCCCUGCGUAGUAGCACACACCUCGCACCGGAGCGCGGAGGCGGUCACGCCGUAAAACGCCCAACUUUCUUAGAGUUGACCUCGGAUCAGGUAGGAAUACCCGCUGAACUUAAGCAUAUCAAUAAGCGGAGGA